UACCUAGGUGGCAAGCGUUGUCCGGAAUUAUUGGGCGUAAAGCCCGCGCAGGUGGUUCCUUAAGUCUGAUGUGAAAGCCCACGGCUCAACCGCGUAGGGUCAUUGGAAACUGGGGAGCUUGAGUGCAGAAGAGGAAAGUGGAAUUCCACGUGUAGCGGUGAAAUGCGUAGAGAUGUGGAGGAACACCAGUGGCGAAGGCGACUUUCUGGUCUGUAACUGACACUGAGGCGCGAAAGCGUGGGGAGCGAACAGG
RNAcentral lists this unclassified non-coding RNA (253 nucleotides) under uncultured Bacillaceae bacterium. RNAcentral's name for it is "contains 16S-23S intergenic spacer region". It matches the Rfam family "Bacterial small subunit ribosomal RNA", at positions 524 to 776 of the family's 1533-position model. The record is from RNAcentral. Lineage: Bacteria; Bacillati; Bacillota; Bacilli; Caryophanales; Bacillaceae.